AAGUCGUAACAAGGUUUCCGUAGGUGAACCUGCGGAAGGAUCAUUAGAAAUCACCGGCUUAGCCGGUAUAAAAUUCUAUCCACCCUUGUGUGCAAACAAUGGAAGAAAAGAGAGCCAUUUGGAUACCUUUGUAUCCAAUCUCUCUAAAAUUUUUUAUAAACUCCAUCAAAUUUUGAAUAAAACUAUUUUUUUUUUUUAAAUAAAAAUAUUAUACAACUUUCAACAACGGAUCUCUUGGCUCUC
RNAcentral lists this unclassified non-coding RNA (243 nucleotides) under fungal sp. RNAcentral describes it as "partial internal transcribed spacer region". The stretch from base 1 to 46 matches the Rfam family "Eukaryotic small subunit ribosomal RNA", at positions 1786 to 1831 of the family's 1831-position model. Lineage: Eukaryota; Fungi. The record is from RNAcentral.